RNAcentral lists this microRNA (22 nucleotides) under Mus musculus (house mouse). RNAcentral describes it as "mmu-miR-802-3p". Its record names the gene mmu-miR-802-3p. Lineage: Eukaryota; Metazoa; Chordata; Mammalia; Rodentia; Muridae. The record is from miRBase by way of RNAcentral.
ACGGAGAGUCUUUGUCACUCAG